This is a long non-coding RNA of Nycticebus coucang (slow loris), 3691 nucleotides long. RefSeq lists it as uncharacterized. The transcript is spliced from 5 exons. The record is from RefSeq and is a predicted model, not a curated record. Lineage: Eukaryota; Metazoa; Chordata; Mammalia; Primates; Lorisidae.
UGCUUUGGGACGAAGCUGGCUUUAAGAGUACUAACAUUAGCAAAGCCAACUGACCCCAGGGUUACCUGAAGGAAGACUGCCACAUAACUCUGAGUGAAUAGAUCCCACACCAGUCAGUCCAUCAGAGGAGGCAAACCUCGUCAGGAAGAGGCAAGGUGGCUGUGCCCUAGAUUAGUCACUGUGUCAACACCUGCCCUUGCAAAGCUGAUAAAGGAUUCACGGGUGACUGCUGGUUCGACCACAGAAACAUGUUUCCCUGAGAAAGCAAGGAAGGACGAAAGAGCAGAAAUCCCUGCUCCCUGGGACUUCUGCAGCUGACAUCCCUGUGUCAUGCCACUCACCUCCUUGGGACAGGAUCUACCGGGAAGCUUUCCUUAGGAAAGUGGAAGAAAGUCUCCAUCUAUGCUUCGCAGAGAUCUGUGUCUCAGGGCCAGGAACAAACACAGCCCACGGGUAUAAUUUCCCCAGAUGGCUCCCACACCACUGGCCAACAGCUGAAAUUCUGCUAUUAAAGCUUUGUGUUUUUUCAGCGUGAAGCAGCAACUGGCAACCCGAGGGCCGAGACCUGAGUGGGAGAACCACCGGGGUGGUGAAUGAUUUUCAGGACGAAUGUCCAGAUACGAAAUUUCUAGUGAAUAAAAAGACAUGCCAGUUUCUUCACUGACAUUCUUUGAUUCAGUAAAGCAAGUAUUCUAAGUCUUGAGAAUACAGGCAUAUGAGGUCCGACAAUUAAGUUCAUGAACUCGUCCUAGGAAAAGUGCUGCAUCCCUCAUUGCUGAAUAUUGCUACAGUCACCAGAAGGCUAGGAAGGACUUGGAAGGAGUGAAAGGUGAAUGGAAUUACACUCAAAAUAUUGCUGCCAAUGUGCUGGCAACAGUGGAUGUGACAGAGCCUGGCCAGGAGCCUGAGCAGCAGACUUACAGAGCAUUGCAGGUCUGCAGAUCUCGGUGCAAUUUGUUCAGAGGAUGGAACAACGCAGUGAAUGUUCUACCCUGAAGAGCUGGGAAAGAAGAGUCAUCUGAAAAACGAGGAGGGAGCCAGGUGGGAUGCCAGCAAGUGAGCACAGCAAAUGAAGUCGCAUUUACCUGGAUACACUGAGCCUCCCAGCACUUUAGUAGCAUCAAUUCUAGUCCUGUCCAGGAUAUCCCUUCCUAGAUAAGCCCUCCCAGUGUAACACCAUGUUCAUAAUUCUCAGUGAAGCACAGCCUAUGUCCGUCUGCUGGAGAGAGGCCGUGACUCAGAUGUAUUCAAUUCUCAUGGACAUGGCUGGAUGCAGUGGCUCAUGCCAGGCUGAGGUGUCGACCCAUGCCAGGGUCGAUUGUUUGAGCUUACCAGUUCAGAGACCAGCCUGAGUAAGAGCGAGACCACGUCUCUAAAAAAAAAAACAAUAGCCAGUCAUUGUGGUGGGCAUCUGUAGUCCCAGCUCUCAGGAGGCUAAGGCAAGAGAAUUGCUUGAGCCCAAGACUUUGAGGCUUCUGUGAGCUACGUUUCUGCAGCAGUCUACUGGGGGCGACAAAGUAAGACUCUGUCUCAAAAAAAAAAAAAAAAUUCUCACAGACAAACAUUACAACCACUGUGUCCCCUGACUGACAGCUGCCAUUACUGCUUGGUAGACUAAAACCAGCCACAUCAUUAGAAUGAAUACUGACUGUGCCCCCAGCCACACCAGCAUUGGUGCUAAAACCUUGGCAACACAAGGGAAAAAUGAUUCCAGGACGUACAACGUGGAGAUCCAGAAAACACCCUCUGUCUCCAUAAUUUACUCAAUCAGGGAUAUCCCAAAGCAAAGGUGCUGAUGUUCCUGUAGUUUGUACGCACACAGUGGUGCCCAGGCAGACAGUGGAACAAGCCCUCAGUCUACAGGCCUUUUCUCAAGGUACCCUGAGGCAGGCAGCAUUUUCCAAAGAGAGCAGCACCUAAAGCUGUCUCCCACCCCUAAAGCUCUUCUGGCAAUAUACAUUGAUCACUCCUUUGAUGGAGUGAUGAAGUCAAAUGUCCCCUCCCUCUACAUUGGGGUGGGUCUCUGUGACUUCUUCCAUCAAUAGAGUAUGGCAGAGCCAAGGCAGAUCGAUGGGUUGCUUGAUUCAUGAGUACGAGACCAGCCUGAGCAAGAGCGAGACCCCAUCUCCACUAAACAGAAAAACUAGCCAGGCACUGUGGUGAGCAUCUGGAUUCCCAGCUACUUGGAGGCUGAGGCAGAAGGAUCACUUGAGCCCAAGAGACUGAGGUUGCUGUGAACUAUGAUGACACGAUGGCACACUACCAGAGGGUAAAUAAAUAGAGUAUGUCAGAAGUGAUGGAACAUGGCUGCUGAGGCUAGGUCAUCAAAAUGCUGGGUGUUCCUCAAGGAUCUGCCUCAUAGACCAUCAUCGGUGGCACCCAGCACCAUGUGCACCAGAUGAGCUGACUAUGAGCAGGCUACAUAAGCUAUCAGAGCCUCAAUUUCCUCAUCCAUAGAGUGGGUAUAAUACUGAUCCCUACUUCAUGAGGAUAAAAUAAGAUAAUCCACAGAAGGGCACAGUACAAUGCCUGGCAUACAGUAAGCACUCAUUGUUAGCAAUUAUUAAUAUCACUACUUGACAUUUAGUAGGUGGCCAAUUAAUAUUUGUCCAUUGAUUAAUCCAAUUGUGCUGGACACAGAUGAAAAAGAAGACGGAGAUCCAAGUUGUAUCAAGGCUCUUCCUGUCCGGGCUCUCCUCCUGUCUCCAGCCCCAGGCUUUGCUUGUUCCGACUGCCCUGCACAAGCCACCGCACAGCGCACCCUGCUCCCUGUACCCCCCGCAUUUCCCCCCAAGGUCCAUAUCGCCUCUUGGCUUUUGCUUUACAAUUCCCUCUUCUAGAGGAUUCCUUCCAAGUCCUCAUUCCCCUUUUAACUACUAGCAGUCUGAGGAGAUUGGUUCUGUAGGCUUGUUAAGUUGAAGUUGUAUGUAAGUUAGAACAGGUACAUUUACUUAUUACCUGUAAUAGCCUCCUGGUAAGUGAAUCCACCAUUCCUUAGAUGUUUGUAACUCAGGGACUGUCUGUAUUAUUACUAGUACUUCAGCUCUCUGCCUUCAGAGAACAUCUGUGGAAGCCUUUCCUCACCUCACAAUGAGAUCAAUUCUCUCUUUAUACUGUCAGGCAGUGGUUCACUGUAGGGAAAUUGCCUGCUAAUUUCUCUGAUUCCUUCCUCACCUGGAAGGCAAGAUUCCUGCAAUCUUCACCCCAGUACUCCUAGUAGUCAACCAAGACUAGUCUCCAACAAACACUUGUUAAACAAAUGAUUGCGACUUAACAGUAACUUUAAAGAACAUUAAAACAUUAAAAGAAAGGUAACAAUGUUCAGUGCCUUCGCUUUCUGAAAACAGCUGCUGUAGCAUGUUUUGAAAAGAUUUGCAUCGAAACGCUCAGAUAAAAUCUUGGCAUUUAAUGGAUGGAGUAAGCUUUGGUUAUCUGGAAAAAUAAUUUGCUUAUAGUGCUUUAACAGAAGAUGCUAAAUAAAUGGGUGUGUUGCUCCCUGGAUUUUUCACUGGCCACUCAAAUAGAUAAGCUCUGGAGAAGGGGGCGGGAAGAAGGGAGCCACACUGAUUUCAUAGUACCAAGGAUUGUGCCUUGAUUACUUAGUUGCUCAAUGAAUGUUUGCUGAUAGACUCAGAAAUUUAGAGCUUAAAGAAACUUUGAUGACUGAAGAUUGUUUGAUUCAUACCAAACC